GCAGGAAUAGCUCAGUUGGUAGAGCUCCACCUUGCCAAGGUGGAUGUCGCGGGUUCAAGUCCCGUUUCCUGCU
This 73-nucleotide transfer RNA is filed under the name Pseudomonadota bacterium. Its description in RNAcentral is "tRNA-Gly". It matches the Rfam family "tRNA". Rfam says of the family: Transfer RNA (tRNA) molecules are approximately 80 nucleotides in length. Their secondary structure includes four short double-helical elements and three loops (D, anti-codon, and T loops). Lineage: Bacteria; Pseudomonadati; Pseudomonadota. The record is from RNAcentral. RNAcentral also lists the same sequence under 4 other names.